CCUACCGGCUGCACCAGUGGGGAAUAUUGCACAAUGGGCGCAAGCCUGAUGCAGCCAUGCCGCGUGUAUGAAGAAGGCCUUCGGGUUGUAAAGUACUUUCAGCGAGGAGGAAGGCAUUAAGGUUAAUAACCUUGGUGAUUGACGUUACUCGCAGAAGAAGCACCGGCUAACUCCGUGCCAGCAGCCGCGGUAAUACGGAGGGUGCAAGCGUUAAUCGGAAUUACUGGGCGUAAAGCGCACGCAGGCGGUCUGUCAAGUCGGAUGUGAAAUCCCCGGGCUCAACCUGGAACUGCAUUCGAAACUGGCAGGCUAGAGUCUUGUAGAGGGGGGUAGAAUUCCAGGUGUAGCGGUGAAAUGCGUAGAGAUCUGGAGGAAUACCGGUGGCGAAGGCGGCCCCCUGGACAAAGACUGACGCUCAUGCACGAAAGCGUGGGGAGCAAACAGGAUUAGAUACCCGCGUAGUC
Molecule: ribosomal RNA, 464 nt
Filed under: uncultured bacterium
Lineage: Bacteria
Description: bacterial SSU rRNA
Rfam family: Bacterial small subunit ribosomal RNA
Source: RNAcentral